UUGGAGGAUUCCGUUAUCUUUAAUUUUAUUAUUUACGGAUUUUUAUAUCCCUUAUUUAUUUGGGCUUCUCCUUUUUUGUCUGUAUGUUAUAGUCCUAUAGCUCAGUUGGUUAGAGCGCUACACUGAUAAUGUAGAGGUCGGCAGUUCAACUCUGCCUGGGACUACUAUAUUUUUAAUAUAGGGGGGAUUAGCUCAGCUGGCUAGAGCACCUGCUUUGCAAGCAGGGGGUCAACGGUUCGAAUCCGUUAUUCUCCACAUACUGAGAAUGAAUGUUUGAAAGCUGUAAAUUCUCAAUGAGUUCUUUGACAUUUUGGACACAAAACAAUAACGACAUUAUUUGUCCGUUUUUCGUUUUCGUUAUUCAUUAUUUCUAUUUCAUUUUUUGUUUUAGUUAUUUUGUUUUUUCGUUUACGAUUUGAUUAUUUUGCGGUUCUUUAUUUUUUUCGGUUUUUUUUGCCGUUUUAAAUUUAUGUACUGUAUUAUUUUUAGGACAAUAUAUUUUAUAUGCUAUAAUUAUGCUAUAAUAG
This 527-nucleotide transfer RNA is filed under the name uncultured Bacteroidales bacterium. RNAcentral's name for it is "16S-23S ribosomal RNA intergenic spacer". The stretch from base 91 to 164 matches the Rfam family "tRNA". The record is from RNAcentral. Lineage: Bacteria; Pseudomonadati; Bacteroidota; Bacteroidia; Bacteroidales.